RNAcentral lists this ribosomal RNA (253 nucleotides) under uncultured bacterium. RNAcentral's name for it is "partial 16S ribosomal RNA". It matches the Rfam family "Bacterial small subunit ribosomal RNA", at positions 524 to 776 of the family's 1533-position model. The record is from RNAcentral.
UACGAAGGGUGCAAGCGUUGUUCGGAUUUACUGGGCGUAAAGCGCGCGCAGGCGGAUAAAAAAGUCAGGUGUGAAAUCUCGGGGCUCAACCCCGAAACUGCGCCUGAAACUCUUUGUCUAGAAUCUUGGAGGGGGUAGGGGAAUUUCUCAUGUAGGGGUAAAAUCCGUAGAGAUGAGAAGGAACACCGGUGGCGAAAGCGCCUACCUGGACAAGAAUUGACGCUGAGGCGCGAAAGCGUGGGGAGCAAACAGG